This is a non-coding RNA of Paramisgurnus dabryanus, 1229 nucleotides long. NCBI's taxonomy places the organism in Eukaryota, Metazoa, Chordata, Actinopteri, Cypriniformes, Cobitidae. The record is from RefSeq and is a predicted model, not a curated record.
AAUCAUUCAUAACGGACAGAUUUCAAAGGCAGCAGGAUGAAAGAUAUGUGUCUGUGUUCAUCAAGUCAUGAAGACUCUGGAGUGGGACAAGAGAAGGAUGAUGGGGUGUAUAUUCCAAUAGACACAUUAAGUCACAUUGUGAUUUCAGUGAAAGCUGAUAAAUACAGAGGGCUGGACAGUGGUUUCAUUCAUUAGGUAAAGAGGUGGGACAAGGAUGCUGACAGGACAGGAGGAGGUGACAUUCAGCUGAAUUUCUCAUAGGUGGAUAAAGUAUGACAGCAAUUGUGAAGACCUUAGACGUGCAGUAUAUGGUUCUUCUCUCUUUCAUUUAUAUUGAUUUGACUUAAUUUUCUUGACAUUCAGCGCAGACAUUUUCAUCCAAAGCAACUUGAGGGAGAAAACAGAAGCAGUUCAUCCUAAAAGUGGGCUGCUGUAAUGUUUACAUCUAUGGAAAGAGGAGCUGAGAAGAAAAGAGACACUGGAAAGCAGUACUUCUUGUUGAGGACAAUCCUGAAUAGGAACACUUUCUCAUACACAUAGAUUAUUAUUAGUGUUUGAUUGUUUGUUUCAUUUUUAUGAAUUGUAUUGUUUUAAUUUUUCGUUUUAUUUGAAAUUACCCUAGUUAGAUUCAUGCUAAUACUUUAACUGGACCUUGUAUCUUUGCUGGCUGGCUGGUUGUAGAGUUGGUUUCACAUACACAUGAAGUUUCUAAUUAACUAACUUUUAAGUUCAGUUUGGUUUAAACUUGUAUUUACCCAUGGUAAUUCAUUUAAAUUUCUAUUCAUGCGUAUAUAUUAAUUUCAAUGAACUUCUGUAUUUGUGUAUAGCUGGCAAUUUGGGCAAGCUACAUUUAACACACAAAUGUAACUGUCACAAAGGUUUUUUUUAUUAUCAGUUUGUUCUAAACUUUUGUUUGUUUACUAAGGAUGAAAUUGCUUUGUAAUUUAAGUUGUUGUUGUUAGACUCAUGCCAAUAAUGUAUUUGAACAAACUAGUAUUUUUGUUUAUUGCUGGCAGUUUAUACUAGAAGAGUUUUAACACAUACAAUGUCGUAGUGUUAUUGACUUGUGUGCUAUUGAUUAAUAAAAAGGCAAACAAUUUGAAAGUAAUUUUUCGUGUGAUUUAUUUAUUAAUAUAAUUUGGGCAAGAUUAGGCUGAGUUAUGGCUCAGUUUUGGAAGUUCUGGUUAAAUGCUGGUUUUAAUAUGGUUGACCUAUGGCUGAGAACUGGU